RNAcentral lists this non-coding RNA (21 nucleotides) under Caenorhabditis elegans. The record is from RNAcentral. Lineage: Eukaryota; Metazoa; Nematoda; Chromadorea; Rhabditida; Rhabditidae.
UUUGUUACUUGCUUUCAUUAU